RNAcentral lists this unclassified non-coding RNA (539 nucleotides) under Hevea brasiliensis (rubber tree). The record is from RNAcentral. Lineage: Eukaryota; Viridiplantae; Streptophyta; Magnoliopsida; Malpighiales; Euphorbiaceae.
AAUGGAUUGCUGAUAAAUCACAAGUCUAUACCCAACAUGCCUAUAUGAGACCACUUGGAGUUGUGGCAAUGGUUUUGGGCAUUGAUGAUGAGUAUGGACCUCGCCUCUAUAAAUGUGAUCCCGCUGGUCAUUUCUUUGGUCACAAGGCCACUAGUGCUGGACUUAAGGAGCAGGAGGCUAUUAAUUUCUUGGAAAAGAAAAUGAAGAAUGAUCCUGCUUUUACUUAUGAGGAGACUGUGCAGACUGCAAUUUCUGCACUUCAAUCAGUGCUGCAAGAGGACUUCAAGGCCAAUGAGAUUGAGGUGGGAGUGGUUAGGUCGGAGAAUCCUAUCUUCAGAGUGUUGAGCACUGAAGAAGUUGAUGAGCAUUUGACUGCCAUUAGUGAGCGAGAUUGAUUGAUUCAUGUGCUGCUCCCUGGAGAAGCAUAUUGACAACAUCAAAUGCCUUCGUUUUAGAUGUUGAUUAUCGAUGCAUUGCAUGCUUUAUAUGUACAAGUCCUUGAGGUAGUAUUUGCUUCUGAAUUGUUGUCGACGGUGACA